AGUGGUGCUGUGAAGAGAACAAUUGUCAGAGUGAAUGUUGAACAUCAGCUAGUUUCUCCUGUUGAUUGAAACCUUGUUGUACAGAUGGAACAUUGGCUGUGGAUUCUUCUUGCUGCUCUUUUCUUUGAGUGUAAAGGAGAAGACAAAGUGAUCCAACCAGGAGGAGAAGUCAUUGCUGCUGAAGGAGACUCUGUCACACUCAACUGUACCUUUGAGACCAGUUAUUCACAAAAAUAUUUGUUCUGGUACAAACAAGAAGUGAACAGUUACCCAAAGUACAUGUUGAAACGUGGCACCUAUGAAACAGAAGACAACGCUCCAGAGUUCAAGAAAGACAGAUUUAAUGCUGAACUUGACAUCAAGAUCAAAUCCGUUCCUCUGACGAUCCAGAAGGUUCAUGUGUCAGACUCUGCUGUGUACUACUGUGCUCUGCAGCCCACAGUGACAGGAAACAACAAAACUCUGUACUAAAACCUGCAGAGCAGAGACAAGACAAUACUCUAGAACAGUGGUCCCCAACCUUUUUGGGGCUGUGGACCGGUCAGCCAGUGUGGAAUUAUUCCGCGGCCCGGGGGGGGGGGGAUUAAAAACGUUAAUCCACUGUGUUAUCAUGUACAACUUUAUUAGCUGGGUCCUCAUGACGUCACAACAGCAGCUGAACAUAACAUGACCAACAUCGUUUCUACCCCAACACAAUGCAAACUUUCUAAAGAAGUUUGUUUUUUGCUCAUUUUGCUAUCUUGAGAUUAAAUUUAACGGGAUGUAUCAUGUGACGUGUUGUGGCCUUGACGUGCGUCAAGUGAAGAUGUAAAUGAGAAAAUCC
Molecule: non-coding RNA, 823 nt
Organism: Oryzias melastigma (Indian medaka)
Lineage: Eukaryota; Metazoa; Chordata; Actinopteri; Beloniformes; Adrianichthyidae
Source: the annotation of a RefSeq genome assembly